Long non-coding RNA from Anolis carolinensis (green anole), 5405 nucleotides. RefSeq lists it as uncharacterized. NCBI's taxonomy places the organism in Eukaryota, Metazoa, Chordata, Lepidosauria, Squamata, Anolidae. The transcript has 7 exons. The record is from RefSeq and is a predicted model, not a curated record.
CCAGAAUUUAGGUAGCAUACUUGUAUGCAGAAGGUGCCUUGCCCAGUCAGAAAUGUUUCUUAGUUCAUGCUGGGCAAGAUUUUAAUUUGAAAUCCUAAAGAGCCAUUGCCAGACUGGCUAAGAAUUGUGAAUGCAGGAGCAAGCCGUGGUGAAUCAAUUGUGGUUUUUUUUUUUACAGGCUUUAAAAGAGUGAUUUGACAUGUUGGGUUGAUUUUUUUGGCCUAGGGUUCAGAACCCUGGAUAGCUCCUUUAAAGUCUUGAAUAAAACACAGAGCAAAUGUACUACACUCUUUAUAUCACUUUAUAUCACUGGUUCUCAACCUGUGGGUCCCCAGAUGUUUUGGUCUUCAGCUUCCAGAAAUCCUAACAGCUGGUAAACUGGGAUUUCUGGGAGUUGUAGGCCAAAACAUCUGGGGACCCACAGGUUGAGAACCACUGCUUUCUAUGAAAGCUAUUGACUGACCCUUCAUCACUAUAGUGAGUACUAAACUAGGUGUCUUGACCUGGUGGAAGCCUGUUUCAUACAUAUUAAGAGGGACAAUAUUCUGACAAGGUCAUUCCCCCUUGACUGAAGGUAACAUAAAAAGAUGGGGAGUGAGAAGAGGCAAGGUUGAUAUUCAGGUAUGGGCAUAAUUUCUACAUCACUGUGACAGAGCACCAAUCUCUGGCAAUGUUCCUAUGGGAAUUAGAGGAGAUUUCUCCUUUGCCUGGCUCUUUCUUUCAGUAUACAACAACAUAGCUGCAUUUUUGUCAACACCAAUAGCGGCUGGAAUGCACCUGGCCUAUUUUGACUCCUCUUGAGCAUCAAGGGAAAACAUGGAUGAACUUCUGUGGCUGACAAGUGGCCAGAAAUAUGAUAUAGCAGUCUCUCAACUGUUGUUGCAUAAUGCUGUGACAACCUUGCAGAAGUACGUACAAUCAGUUUUCUUUUGCAAGGUCUGAAAAAGUAUAUACACAGAUGUAACCCCUACUUACACUCACAUAUAUCACCAAUGGGAGCCCAGUCCUUUUUGGUGAGUUAAUAUGGAACCAUUACUCCUUUUUGAUAGGUACUAUAUCCAUUUGAUGAAAAGUGUUUAUCUCUUACAGCACAAACAGUGCAAAACAGUUUUCUAUAAAAUGUCAUUUAAAAAAAAGUAUGUGUGAGCAUAAUUUUUAUCUCUAUUGGUUUAGGAUUCAACACUAAAUGCAGUUAAGCUGCAGAGGAUCCUGAACUGUGAGUCGUGGACUACUCUUCAGAACUAUGGAUUAAGAUUUAGCUUGGAUGUCUGCCGGAGUAUCCUGGCCCUCCUGGAUUUUAAUAGCACUGGAGACUUGAGCAUUCAAGAAUUCAGACUCCUAUGGAAGAAGUUGCUUCUUUAUCAGGAAGUUUUCCAGAAAAAAGAUAUUCACCAUACAGGAUGCUUGGAACAAGCAGAGGUACAAGCAGCUUUAGAAGAAAUGGGCAUUCCCAUCAGCAGUGAGCUUUGUAAGAUGAUGGCAUAUCGCUAUGGGGACGCUCAUCUAAAAGUCACCUUUGAAAACUUUGCGUGCUUUGUGCUGCGUGUGGAACUCAUGAUGAAGGCCUUUCAUAAUAUGAGUAAAGAUGGCAAAGGGAUAUAUAUCAAGGAAUCUGAGUGGAUGAUUAUGACCCUUUACUCAUGAAGUGAAAAAAAAAAGCGUUGGACUGAGCUACAGUAGCCUUUAAAAGAAUUAUAGGGGAACUUUCUUAUUAGCUUUCUCUGUAGACAGAUAGAGGCAGAGGAAAUCCAGACACUUUUGGUUCUACUUGUGUCUUAAUUGAAAUAGGAUUUAGGCCUAUCAUUUCAAUGUAUCAUUUCAAAUCUUCAUUGAAACUCAGAUUUGGGAUUAGAGCAGGUAGUGGUAUAGUCUUGUUAAAGAAACAGCAAGAAAGUCAUCACACUGCAAAUGUACCAACAAAAAAAAUCCAAUGCUAUUUACCUCAAGAGUAAUCUUGUCUCACAUCACCAUGCCAUGUCAUCAUGGGAGAAGAGAUGGACAGCUAUAAGAAACAGGACCUUUUCGGUGGAAGUGCCAAAGCUUUGCGCUCCCAAUGAACACCCUAUCUGCCUCCUUAUCUGAGUAUUUUAGAAGUCUAUUGAAGUUCUCUUUUAAAAAUCCAAGGAAGUGUUAACAUUUGAUUGAUCUGUUUUAUAGACCGCUGCUUUCAAACUGAUAUAUUUUAUUGCUGUUUUCAGUUUGUUCAAUGCACUUUCUUGAUUUUGCAUAGCUUUACUUGUGUUGGUACAAUGUUUAUGUUUUUGAUUGUGACUGCAUUUAUUACUUUUGUACACUCUCUUGAAUGCUUUUAUCAAAAUACGAAUAUUUGUUUUAUAAGGAAUGUAAUGUAGUCCACAAAAUUAGAACUAACAUAUCAUUUUAACAUCUCAUGCCAGCAGUGUCACACACCCAUUUAAUUCCCGACCUUUGCUUUGACUAUUGGGUAAUGUUACCCAUAUCCUCUUCUGUUUGAGUUGCCAUCUAGGGCUGAAGUCAAGUAGCUGACCUACCUAAGUUGUAUAAAAUGUUACUUGUUGGUGUCUUUAAUUAUCUGAUUAUUGCCCAUUUUAAACUGAGCAGACAAUGCAGCAUUACUUAUGAGAGCAGAUAUGUGAGAAUCUCCUCAGUCCUCAGAAAAACCCCUGCGAAGUCUUUGUUUUCAGAUUGUUUCUUCCCAGCAAGCCACCCUCCAUGACUCUUUAGAUCUCUUCUGCAGUCAUUGGUGAUGUUAGUGUUCAAUUACAGCUGCCUGCCUGUACAUGUUACAUUAAUUCAAUUAGUGUAACAAGUGCAGGCAGUUCCGAUUGAAUAAUUAAUUUAAUUGUAGGGGAAGGCCCUGCAUCUGAAUAGCCCAAAAAGCUUUCUUAGGAUAUGAAACCGAUGGAGAAAUUCUUCACAGCUGAAAAUGCUGGGGAUGAUGUGACAAGCAUAGGAAGAACCACAUUCCUUGAUUCCAUUGAGUAUGAAAUUUCAUUCUGCCAGACAAAUUCUUUCACAGUUUUGAAAAUAUUGCAGUGUUUGGGGAAAUAAGCUAGUUAUUUAGAUUUACAAUCCUGCAACCAAUGUGUCCACUUAGAAUGGCACAUAUUGUGAAAGGAGCCCCCAGUGGUGCAGUGGGUUAAACCACUGAGCUGCUGAAUCUGUUGACCGAAAGGUUGGCAAUUCGAAUCUGGGGAGCAAGGUGAGCUCCUGCUGUUAGCCCCAGCUUCUGCCAACCUAGCAGUUUGAAAACAUACAAAUGUGAGUAGAUCAAUAGGUACCGUGGGAAGGUAAUGGCGCUCCAUGCAGUCAUGCCGACCACAUGACCUUGGAGACAUCUAUGGACAACGUUGGCUCUUUGGCUUAGAAAUUGAGAUGAGCACCAACUCCCAGAGUCGGACACAACUAGACUUAAUAUCAGGGGAAAGCCUUUGCCUUUACCCUAUACUGUGAAAAAAUGUUAUUUGGAAGAGGCUAUAGUCAAAGUAACAUACUGUACCAUACCUACACACUCACUCACACACACACACACACAUCUGUAUCUAUAUACACACACAACAUUGUUUUAUAUACCAGUUUGGAUACACAUGCUAUCCCUUGUUUACACAAUGCACUGUAAAUAUAGUGAUUUAUGUAACUAUUAAUUAGAAUCUGUCUUUACUAUACACCAUUUCAUUUUUGUAACAUUAAAUAGCACUGUGCUAUGUGACCUGUUGUUUUGAAAUUGUCAAGUGUUUUAAUAGAAUCAUUGAAUCUGUACAAGGCAAACUCUAUUCUAUUGAUUGCAUAAAAGUAUUUUACUAAUUGUGUUUUUGAAAUGUUGCUGUAUCUCAGAGAGGAACACAGCUGCACUUUUAAAAUGUGACUCGUACUUUUUAGUGAGCAUAGUGGAAAACAAUUCAAAAAGCUUUCUGAGAUAUGCAUUCAAAUAAAUCCAGUUAUUCACCACAAGGUCACUUGUUUAUGACUGGGUGCUAUUACAAUAGCACACUAACAGAAAGGAGUAUAUUGCGGUGGAGCUAGUCAAGUGGAUGACAAGCUUUUCAGAGAAGAGCUAAGCGGAACAGGAAACAGGAAAAGUAUAGCACAGCAGCACAAUGAAAAAUUAUGAAUAGAAAAGAAAGGCUGAUGUUUCAACUCAAAACUUUGAAAUAAAAGUUAUUUAAGGAUAUAUUCAGAAAGAUCUAAAUCCAGUUGCUUUCCCAGCUAGAGUAGAUUCAUAGGCAUAAUGAGAACUUGUUAAGUUGCACUGAUUCAGUGGGGAUUGACAAUUGGAUGUAGACCAAAGUUCAUUUGCAUCUUUCUUCUUAAAGAUAGAGCUGUUCGUUGUUGCAUGCCUUCAACUCAUUUACAAUGUGAGCUAACCCUAAAUUCAAUUUAUCACAGGAUUUUCCUGGCAAGAUUUGUUCAGAGGAGUUUUUUUUUCCCUUCCUCUGAGUAAGAAAGAGUGUAACUUGCCCAAGGUCAUCCAGGGGGUUUCCAUGGCUGGGCAGAAAUUUGCAUCCUGGUGUCCAGAGCAAUAGGGUGUAUUUGCACCAUAUAAUUAAUUCAGUUUGACACCGCUUUAACUGUAGAGUUUUAAACAUGAAAACAAGAAGCUUAUAUUGUGUCCUACAAAGAUCAUGUAAAUAAUGAUGAGAUAUCAAAAGUAGGGUAAUAUAAUUGAAACAAUGUGCCAAAAAGAUACUCUUAAAAACAAAAUAUUGAAUUUGGGAACAAAGUGUCCCAAAUCAGUUAUUUAGCAUGUGAAACAGAAAAUCCCACAAACUGUUCUCCCUAUACUAGGAAGGAGAAAUAGAAUGCAACAGUAACACAUUAAUUAGCCAAUUCAUAGCCCUUCUAUGACAGCUGAUACUGAACUGGCUGCAUGAUGAAGCUAACUGACUCUGCCUAAUAGUAGGAUCAACCCUAACACUAUAAAAAUAGCACCUAUGCCACAGACCCAUAAUGUUGUUUCAGGCAAAAUCUGAACACUGACUCAUUCUAAUAUGGCAACAAAUGAUGAAUAUGACAUUUCCAUAAAGAACCCUUCCUACCAUGGAUUUGUUAUUCUGUUCUAUUGUAAGAAUACCUGGCACUGUACUGUACCCAAAGUGAUCAGUGGGGACCUCUGGUUUCUUGCUCCCUAUUUUUUAUUUAGAAAUGUUAUCAGCAAUGCUUGAUCCUCUCCUGCUUUCCGAAACACCUCCCAAUUUUACUAUCAGCUUUCUGUUUACUAACAGAACAUACUCUCACUCUUCUACCUUUUACCUUAAGAAGCUUAGCAGCAAUGCCUUAGCUAUUUUCCACUUUUUUCUACCUACCAGCAGUAUAUUAGAAAGUAUUUUCUCACUUUCUAUCUGAAUUAUAUGUACUGCCUUGUUGUGCCCCAACAAGUUAUUCAUGAAACCUUAUUUUGCCUUUUAAGAAGCUCUCCUUCACAUUUU